CUACGGGGCGCAGCAGUGAGGAAUAUUGCACAAUGGGGGGAGCCCUGAUGCAGCAACGCCGCGUGGAGGAUGACGCAUUUCGGUGUGUAAACUCCUUUUAUAUGUCAAGAAAAUGACGGUAGCAUAUGAAUAAGCGCCGGCUAACUCCGUGCCAGCAGCCGCGGUAAUACGGAGGGCGCAAGCGUUACUCGGAAUCACUGGGCGUAAAGGACGCGUAGGCGGGUUGAAAAGUCAGGUGUGAAAUCCUACAGCUUAACUGUAGAACUGCACUUGAAACUUCUAAUCUAGAGUAUGGGAGGGGGAGAUGGAAUUAGUGGUGUAGGGGUAAAAUCCGUAGAUAUCACUAGGAAUACCUAAAGCGAAGGCGAUCUCCUGGAACAUUACUGACGCUAAGGCGUGAAAGCGUGGGGAGCAAACAGGAUUAGAUACCCUUGUAGUC
Molecule: ribosomal RNA, 439 nt
Filed under: uncultured bacterium
Lineage: Bacteria
Description: partial 16S ribosomal RNA
Rfam family: Bacterial small subunit ribosomal RNA
Source: RNAcentral